RNAcentral lists this transfer RNA (76 nucleotides) under Myxococcaceae bacterium. RNAcentral's name for it is "tRNA-Arg". It matches the Rfam family "tRNA". Rfam says of the family: Transfer RNA (tRNA) molecules are approximately 80 nucleotides in length. Their secondary structure includes four short double-helical elements and three loops (D, anti-codon, and T loops). The record is from RNAcentral. Lineage: Bacteria; Pseudomonadati; Myxococcota; Myxococcia; Myxococcales; Myxococcaceae.
GUUUCCGUAGCUCAGCCGGAACGAGAGCGCCUGGUUGCGGACCAGGAGGUCGGGGGUUCGAGUCCCUCCGGGAACG